GAUGAACGCUGGCGGCGUGCCUAAUACAUGCAAGUCGAGCGAACAGACGAGGAGCUUGCUCCUCUGACGUUAGCGGCGGACGGGUGAGUAACACGUGGAUAACCUACCUAUAAGACUGGGAUAAUUUCGGGAAACCGGAGCUAAUACCGGAUAAUAUAUUGAGCCGCAUGGUUCAACAGUGAAAGACGGUUUUGCUGUCACUUAUAGAUGGAUCCGCGCCGCAUUAGCUAGUUGGUAAGGUAACGGCUUACCAAGGCAACGAUGCGUAGCCGACCUGAGAGGGUGAUCGGCCACACUGGAACUGAGACACGGUCCAGACUCCUACGGGAGGCAGCAGUAGGGAAUCUUCCGCAAUGGGCGAAAGCCUGACGGAGCAACGCCGCGUGAGUGAUGAAGGUCUUCGGAUCGUAAAACUCUGUUAUUAGGGAAGAACAAAUGUGUAAGUAACUAUGCACGUCUUGACGGUACCUAAUCAGAAAGCCACGGCUAACUACGUG
RNAcentral lists this ribosomal RNA (497 nucleotides) under uncultured bacterium. Its description in RNAcentral is "partial 16S ribosomal RNA". It matches the Rfam family "Bacterial small subunit ribosomal RNA", at positions 28 to 507 of the family's 1533-position model. The record is from RNAcentral.